RNAcentral lists this ribosomal RNA (429 nucleotides) under Chloroflexota bacterium. RNAcentral describes it as "Chloroflexi bacterium partial 16S ribosomal RNA". It matches the Rfam family "Bacterial small subunit ribosomal RNA", at positions 355 to 776 of the family's 1533-position model. The record is from RNAcentral. Lineage: Bacteria; Bacillati; Chloroflexota.
UGGGGAAUAUUGCACAAUGGGCGCAAGCCUGAUGCAGCCAUGCCGCGUGUAUGAAGAAGGCCUUCGGGUUGUAAAGUACUUUCAGCGGGGAGGAAGGGAGUAAAGUUAAUACCUUUGCUUAUUGACGUUACCCGCAGAAGAAGCACCGGCUAACUCCGUGCCAGCAGCCGCGGUAAUACGGAGGGUGCAAGCGUUAAUCGGAAUUACUGGGCGUAAAGCGCACGCAGGCGGUUUGUUAAGUCAGAUGUGAAAUCCCCGGGCUCAACCUGGGAACUGCAUCUGAUACUGGCAAGCUUGAGUCUCGUAGAGGGGGGUAGAAUUCCAGGUGUAGCGAUGAAAUGCGUAGAGAUCUGGAGGAAUACCGGUGGCGAAGGCGGCCCCCUGGACGAAGACUGACGCUCAGGUGCGAAAGCGUGGGGAGCAAACAGG